RNAcentral lists this ribosomal RNA (255 nucleotides) under uncultured bacterium. Its description in RNAcentral is "partial 16S ribosomal RNA". It matches the Rfam family "Bacterial small subunit ribosomal RNA", at positions 524 to 776 of the family's 1533-position model. The record is from RNAcentral.
UACGUAGGUGGCAAGCGUUGUCCGGAAUUAUUGGGCGUAAAGCGCGCGCAGGCGGCCUCUUAAGUCUGAUGUGAAAGCCCCCCGGCUCAACCGGGGAGGGCCAUUGGAAACUGGGAGGCUUGAGUAUAGGAGAGAAGAGUGGAAUUCCACGUGUAGCGGUGAAAUGCGUAGAGAUGUGGAGGAACACCAGUGGCGAAGGCGACUCUUUGGCCUAUAACUGACGCUGAGGCGCGAAAGCCGUGGGGAGCAAACAGG